UGCAUAUCAAUAAGCGGAGGAAAAGAAACUAACAAGGAUUCCCCUAGUAACGGCGAGUGAAGCGGGAAAAGCUCAAAUUUGUAAUCUGGCGCCUUUGGCGUCCGAGUUGUAAUCUCGAGAAGUAUUUUCCGCGCUGGACCGCACAUAAGUCUGUUGGAAUACAGCGUCAUAGUGGUGAGAACCCCGUAUAGGGUGCGGAUGCCCAGUGCUUUGUGAUAUACUUUCGAAGAGUCGAGUUGUUUGGGAAUGCAGCUCAAAUGGGGUGGUAAAUUCCAUCUAAAGCUAAAUAUUGGCGAGAGACCGAUAGCGAACAAGUACCGUGAGGGAAAGAUGAAAAGCACUUUGGAAAGAGAGUUAACAGUACGUGAAAUUGUUGGAAGGGAAACGCUUGAAGUCAGACUUGCAUUUUGGAGUUCAGCCGCAAGGUGUAUUCUUCAAUUCGCAGGCCAGCAUCAGUUUUUGGGGGUGGAAAAGCGCGGUUGGAAGGUAGCAGUCUCGGCUGUGUUAUAGCUGGCCGCUGGAUUCACUUUUGGGGACUGAGGAACGCAGUACGCUUUUUGCAAGACCCUCGGGUCUUUCGUACUUAGGAUGCUGGUGGAAUGGCUUUAAACGACCCGUCUUGAAACACGGACCA
RNAcentral lists this ribosomal RNA (634 nucleotides) under Microbotryum dianthorum. RNAcentral's name for it is "LSU rRNA". It matches the Rfam family "Eukaryotic large subunit ribosomal RNA", at positions 37 to 668 of the family's 3401-position model. Lineage: Eukaryota; Fungi; Basidiomycota; Microbotryomycetes; Microbotryales; Microbotryaceae. The record is from RNAcentral.